Long non-coding RNA from Helianthus annuus (common sunflower), 343 nucleotides. RefSeq lists it as uncharacterized. The transcript is spliced from 3 exons. NCBI's taxonomy places the organism in Eukaryota, Viridiplantae, Streptophyta, Magnoliopsida, Asterales, Asteraceae. The record is from RefSeq and is a predicted model, not a curated record.
CAAGAACACAGGGGGCGACCAACUCACCCUCAAACCCUAGUUUCAACCAUUUGAUCAAAUUGAGGGCUUUAAUCUGUUCCAAAUCGAAAUCCAAACAUAAAAUAGUGAUCACCUCAGUAAAGGGAUCAUAAGGCAAAGAAACCGAGUCUUCAAGCGGACAAGCCGGGGGUGAUACGCGCUUGAAAGGAAAGCUUUGAAGGUGACUAUGGUGAACUUACGGAUGGCGAUCAAGCAAAUGUCCAAGAACCGAAAACGACUUUUGAAGCUUCCGCUAUGUUUUAACCUUUGAUAGACUUUGUUUAUGGGGUGUAAUCAAAUUGAUAAACAACUUUUGAAUAUUUUG